Molecule: ribosomal RNA, 252 nt
Filed under: uncultured bacterium
Lineage: Bacteria
Description: partial 16S ribosomal RNA
Rfam family: Bacterial small subunit ribosomal RNA
Source: RNAcentral
ACGGAGGGUGCGAGCGUUAAUCGGAAUUACUGGGCGUAAAGCGCACGCAGGUGGCUGGGUCAGUCGGUUGUGAAAUCCCCGGGCUUAACCUGGGAAUUGCGAUCGAAACUGCCCGGCUAGAGUAUGGGAGAGGGAAGUGGAAUUCCCGGUGUAGCGGUGAAAUGCAUAGAUAUCGGGAGGAACACCAGUGGCGAAGGCGGCUUCCUGGCCCAAUACUGACACUCAGGUGCGAAAGCGUGGGGAGCAAACAGG